RNAcentral lists this long non-coding RNA (308 nucleotides) under Mytilus galloprovincialis (Mediterranean mussel). The record is from RNAcentral. Lineage: Eukaryota; Metazoa; Mollusca; Bivalvia; Mytilida; Mytilidae.
CCCGACUCGCCCGACUCGUACAUUUGAAUAACCGGACAAGUAAUUAUUUUUGUCUUGGUUGCCCGUGGACAAGUAAAAAAAUAUACAAGACAAAGUUCAAAUCCACAAAAAACAUAAAAUUAAUUUCAAAACAUAUAAAGAUGUAUAAAGAUGGUUAAUUUAUGUAAAAGAAACCAAUGUUCAGCAAGUAAAAACAUCAAUGUUCAUGUUGAUAAAUAUUACAGGACCAAUUUACUUGAUACCGGAAAUAGACCGAUUACCAAAAUAAAUAAAAAUAAGUAUGAGAACUGAGUGCGAUUUACAUUGCA